CCAGCAGCCGCGGUAAUUCCAGCUCCAAUAGCGUAUAUUAAAGUUGUUGCAGUUAAAAAGCUCGUAGUUGGAUUUCUGGGAGGUUGCCGAUGUCAGCUUGUUAGCUUGUGCAGACGCGACCUCCCAUCCUUCUGUUAACGAUUCUUGGUAUUCAGUUACUGGUUUCGGGCUCAGAUAUUUUACCUUGAGAAAAUUAGAGUGUUUCAGGCAGGCUUGCGCCGGAAUACAUUAGCAUGGAAUAAUAGAAUAGGACUUUAGUCUCCUUUGUUGGUUUGAGGGACUGAAGUAAUGAUUAAUAGGGAUAGUUGGGGGCAUUAGUAUUUAAUUGUCAGAGGUGAAAUUCUCGGAUUUGUUAAAGACUAA
Molecule: ribosomal RNA, 363 nt
Filed under: uncultured eukaryote
Lineage: Eukaryota
Description: SSU rRNA
Rfam family: Eukaryotic small subunit ribosomal RNA
Source: RNAcentral